This 253-nucleotide ribosomal RNA is filed under the name uncultured bacterium. Its description in RNAcentral is "partial 16S ribosomal RNA". It matches the Rfam family "Bacterial small subunit ribosomal RNA", at positions 524 to 776 of the family's 1533-position model. The record is from RNAcentral.
UACGGAGGGGGCGAGCGUUAUUCGGAAUUAUUGGGCGUAAAGGGCGCGUAGGCGGCUUGACAAGUCAAAGGUGAAAUCCCUCGGCUCAACUGAGGAACUGCCUUUGAAACUGUCUGGCUUGAGGCCGGGAGGGGGCAGCGGAAUUCCCAGUGUAGCGGUGAAAUGCGUAGAUACUGGGAGGAACACCAGUGGCGAAGGCGGCUACCUGGACCGGUACUGACGCUGAUGCGCGAAAGCGUGGGUAGCAAACAGG